UGUCUCGGCGGUUUUGUUAGUCUCUCGUUAAAUCUGCGGGCUUAACCUGCAGUCUGCGAGGGAAACGGCAGAACUAGAGGGCGCAAGAGGUGCACGGAACUCAUGGUGGAGGGGUGAAAUCCGUUGAUAUCAUGGGGAACACCGAAGGCGAAGGCAGUGCACUGGUGCGUUCCUGACGCUCAAACACGAAAGCCAGGGGAUCGAACG
This 207-nucleotide ribosomal RNA is filed under the name uncultured bacterium. RNAcentral describes it as "partial 16S ribosomal RNA". It matches the Rfam family "Bacterial small subunit ribosomal RNA", at positions 568 to 774 of the family's 1533-position model. The record is from RNAcentral.